GAUCCUGGCUCAGGAUGAACGCUGGCGGCGUGCUUAACACAUGCAAGUCGAACGGACGAUGAAGAGCUUGCUUUUCAGAGUUAGUGGCGGACGGGUGAGUAACGCGUGGGUAACCUGCCUCAUACAGGGGGAGUAGCAGCUGGAAACGGCUGAUAAAACCGCAUAAGCGCACAGCAUCGCAUGAUGCAGUGUGAAAAACUACCGGUGGUAUGAGAUGGACCCGCGU
This 226-nucleotide ribosomal RNA is filed under the name uncultured bacterium. RNAcentral's name for it is "partial 16S ribosomal RNA". It matches the Rfam family "Bacterial small subunit ribosomal RNA", at positions 15 to 236 of the family's 1533-position model. The record is from RNAcentral.